AGCCCCCUGCAAUUAAUUACAUAGGGGGUGCAGCCUGCCCAGUGGAAUUUUAUAUCUAAACGGCCGCGGUAUCUUGACCGUGCAAAGGUAGCAUAAUCACUUGUCUCUUAAAUGGGGACCUGUAUGAAUGGCUUCACAUCUUCAAACUGUCUCCCUUUUCUCCCUCAUAAACUUCUACACACGUGAAGAAGCGUGUAAAAGUAAGAAAGACGAGAAGACCCUGUCGAGCUUUAGUCAACACCGAAACAACUAAAACUCUUAGAGAAUCAUAACCAUUUCGGCAUAGACUUUGGUUGGGGCAACCGUGGAGAAAAACAAACCUCCAGACAAUUUAGACAGAAAUCUCUUCUUCUUAAAAUUUUUAAACGAACCAGUUCUUUUCUGGGAAACGGAAAAAGUUACCGCAGGGAUAACAGCGUUAUCUCCUCUAAGAGCUCAUAUUGACGAGGAGGUUUGCGACCUCGAUGUUGGAUUGGGGUAACCUAAGGGUGCAGCAGCUCUUAAUGGUUGGACUGUUCGUCCAUUAAUCCCCUACAUGAUCUGAGUUCAGACCGACGUGAGUCAGGUCAGCUUCUAUCUUCUUUUAAUUUUUCCCAGUACGAAAGGACCGGAAAAAUGUCUUCAAUAAUUUACAUCAAAAGACAAACAACAAAAACUACUUUCUAUGAAAAACAAAGCCAUAACCACCCUAACACCAAACAUCACGUCCUUAGAUUUCUCUCUUUUACACCAAACCCUUCCUCCUCACAAGGUAAACCCCUUACAAACUUUUAAAUUUUCAGACACAAAUAAGAAAC
RNAcentral lists this ribosomal RNA (797 nucleotides) under Thelenota ananas. Its description in RNAcentral is "LSU rRNA". The stretch from base 1 to 687 matches the Rfam family "Bacterial large subunit ribosomal RNA", at positions 1817 to 2925 of the family's 2925-position model. The record is from RNAcentral. Lineage: Eukaryota; Metazoa; Echinodermata; Holothuroidea; Aspidochirotida; Stichopodidae.